UCCACUUCAAAGAUAUUUCAGAAACUUAAUUUUUAAGCUAUGGAAUCAUGUUCUUUAUAUUCUUCUAUCUCAACCCUCAAAACUCGAAUUUGAACAAACUAGAAAUCAUUACCCACUAUUAUACAUCAGUAUAACUUACGAGUAUCUAACAAGCAGUCAUAUUUAUCAUCAGCUCGCAGAUCCAUCCAAGCAUCAACGUCCAUCGAAAACUUCUGACC
This 218-nucleotide long non-coding RNA is filed under the name Solanum tuberosum (potato). RNAcentral describes it as "long non-coding RNA (STUB_LNC011602)". Lineage: Eukaryota; Viridiplantae; Streptophyta; Magnoliopsida; Solanales; Solanaceae. The record is from RNAcentral.